GGGACCUCAUGAAGCGUUCGCAACUUUUAUAAAAAAGAGCAAGUUAGUCCAAAACAUUGCUGAAUUUGUUACAUAAUUCUUGAGCUGACUUCCAAAGUGUUUCUAUAAAAAUGACUAUCCAAUAGGCCAGUUGCGCUGGUCACAGAAUCGUGUUUUGAUGCUUGAUUCUAGUAGCUUAGCUAGAAAAAUAAGAUCUGUCCAAAUAGCAACUUUCUAAGUUCAAUAUGAACAGAGAUCUCGCAAUUAAAAAAAUUCGGUUUAUGACGUCAUCCACCAUGGUACUCACACCCUUGCGCCUUGGUUUCUUUCAUCAAUCAGGGAGGCACACAUUUCCUUUAAUUACUCAACAUGGAACUUGGAUGAAAGCAAGGUGGGAGAAACCAAGGAUGUCACUGCUGCAGUGGAUGACGUCACGAAACGAAUUUUUCAAAGCACAAUUCUUAGGUAAUUUGAGUUUAGAGAGAUGCUGUUUGGACAAAUCUUGUUAUUUUUAGCUGAUCUACAAGAAUCUAGCAUCAAAACACGAUUCUGUGACCAGCGCAACUAACCCACUGAGUGCCAGGAGUUUUGAUUGAAGUUAUUGAAUUUUAUUUACUUAAAUUAUGUAUUAAGUUUGAAAAUCAAGGAAUUUAAAAAUAAAGUUAAAUGAGUAAAAGAGCUAGUUCAAGUAAAGAAGGACUUUGCAUGGCACACUGAUAAUUUGCCGGUUGAAUAAAUUUCUCGCUGAGAGGUAUGACCUCUUGGGUCCUAAAAAAAAUGAUAUCAUCCAGUAUCUACGUAGAGAGAGAGAUCGUUCCAAAAUGAAAACUUAAAUUGAUUUUAAACCGUGAGCGAAAACUCCAAUCUAGUUGUAAAAAAUUGACAUUUACUCAGGGAACCUUGAAAAACAAAUAAUUAAUUGCAUAUGUUCAAGGAUUAAUCAGCAAUCAAAAAAAUGAUAAAAAUCAUGAAUGGAAUUCCUUUCUUUAAUGAAUGGCACAGCCCUCUAUUUAAUCAACUAUUAGCCUUACUCUUGAUCCGUUAUGAUUGCAUCAUCUCAGAAUUUUAUUUAUUGAUAAUAUUUGAUGAUGCUGCACUGACUUGCAAUCAAAACUAGUUACGUUUUAUUCCUAAGUAAGUCAGCACAAAUAAGUUAUCGAGUCAAAAAAGUGAAGAAAUUCAAAGAACUCAGUAUGUCUCUUAGGUACUACCUGAUGGCACUUCAAAAUCAAUUGUUACUGGGUUACACUGACUAAUAAAAAAUUGAAUGACUGUUGCACAGGAAAGGGUAGCAUAGCUCACAUGAUUUGCUAUCAGAUGCAUCAAGUGAUUAAAAACAUUGUAAGUCUAUCCUUUUCCCAGUCUUAGCAGCAGUCAUACAGUUCUGUAUUCAUUUUAAUGUCAUUUAUUCACUAUCAGAAAACAAAUUACCUAUGAGUAAAAAUAAUUUUAUGUUGAAGGGCGAAUUUUUUCUUUGAUAGUCUUAAAAAGUUCGCUUUAUUGAGAGAUUGGUUAAACUGAAGGCAUCAUAUUUCAUUUCUUCAAACUUUCCAAAAAGUGACUAAGCAAGAGGACAAAGAGCUGGGCUCAAAAAUUUAGGAUGAAAUGUAUUCUCAUGAUUAUAUUCAUAUGUUUGGGGACAUUCUUCACAAUGACAACUUUUAAGACAAGUAUACAAUUUUCAAUGGCAAACCUGCACAGUAUAUCACAAUUUUUGACUGGAGGACCGCGGAGCAUGAAAUGUGUUUACUGUUCCGGAACUGUUGAAUAUUGUGAACAGCAAAUCCAAGCCGGAACAGUGAGGACUGAGAUAUGCUUAGAGGGCGAGGUUUGCAUUUCAGCAUGUUUUGAACAAUACGGAAACUACUCUGAGAGAUUUUGUCACAAAAUAAAUUCCUGCGAAGAAAAUUUCCCUCAUCAUGAAAUUUGUAUUGAAUGCAAAACUGACUACUGUAAUAUCGAACCAAUACCAUACUGUUCCACCCAUCAGAAACUUUUGGAGUUAUGAAAUACAGAUUAAUGUAGGAUUUUAGAAGAA
Molecule: non-coding RNA, 2017 nt
Organism: Bemisia tabaci
Lineage: Eukaryota; Metazoa; Arthropoda; Insecta; Hemiptera; Aleyrodidae
Source: RefSeq, a predicted model, not a curated record